This is a non-coding RNA of Drosophila melanogaster (fruit fly), 309 nucleotides long. The record is from Ensembl. Lineage: Eukaryota; Metazoa; Arthropoda; Insecta; Diptera; Drosophilidae.
ACUGUUUGUAUUUCCCUCGCAUUCUGGCCGGAAGUGGCUCCUGGACAUUCAGAGCAGUGUCAAGAACAUGAACGCCGCCAAUGUUGCAACAUGGGCCCGCAUCUAUAUCUAUUCCCCCAAGCGGCUUUCACGCCCCGACUCCCAGUGACCCCCAUGUCUUGCCACCGACGAUGAUGAUGUCGAUGUCUCAGUUGCCUGCAAUAAUGCCACAGAUUUCCUAUCAGACGUUUGCAUCACGCUGGACCUGACCCUUCUACCCAGGAUUGUUGCCUAUUUAAGGCGAUUUCCUGCUGCCAUCAUCCGCUGCGG